CUACGUGCCAGCAGCCGCGGUAAUACGGAAGGUCCAGGCGUUAUCCGGAUUUAUUGGGUUUAAAGGGAGUGUAGGCGGUUUGUUAAGCGUGUUGUGAAAUUUAGAUGCUCAACAUUUAACUUGCAGCGCGAACUGUCAGACUUGAGUACACGCAACGUAUGCGGAAUUCAUGGUGUAGCGGUGAAAUGCUUAGGUAUCAUGAAGAACUCCGAUUGCGAAGGCAGCAUACGGGAGUGUAACUGACGCUUAAGCUCGAAGGUGCGGGUAUCGAACAGGAUUAGAUACCCUGGUAGUCCGCACAGUAAACGAUGGAUGCCCGCUGUUAGCGCCUGGCGUUAGCGGCUAAGCGAAAGCAUUAAGCAUCCCACCUGGGGAGUACGCCGGCAACGGUGAAACUCAAAGAAAUUGACGGGGGCCCGCACAAGCGGAGGAACAUGUGGUUUAAUUCGAUGAUACGCGAGGAACCUUACCCGGGCUUGAAUUGCAGAGGAAUUAUUUAGAGAUA
RNAcentral lists this ribosomal RNA (505 nucleotides) under uncultured bacterium. RNAcentral describes it as "bacterial SSU rRNA". It matches the Rfam family "Bacterial small subunit ribosomal RNA", at positions 501 to 1008 of the family's 1533-position model. The record is from RNAcentral.